Saccostrea cuccullata (small rock oyster) is the source of this 394-nucleotide long non-coding RNA. RefSeq lists it as uncharacterized. NCBI's taxonomy places the organism in Eukaryota, Metazoa, Mollusca, Bivalvia, Ostreida, Ostreidae. The record is from RefSeq and is a predicted model, not a curated record. The transcript is spliced from 3 exons.
UUGUGAUUUGUGUGAUAGAUGGUAUGAUCCUAUUUGUGCAGCUCUAACAGAUGAUCAGUGGGCAGACAUAGAAAAUUUUGACUGGUAUUGUGCAGAAUGUCAGGAAUGAACAAGAUUCCAGUAAUGUGGUAACUCCUAGAUAGUAGAAUAUUCAGGUCGGGAGUCCAUGAAGAAACGAACCAAGAAACUGGUUCUUCUGAGGAACUCGAUUGCCUGACUGAGAUCUUCUUGCCCUGCUGGUGACAACGUUGAUGCAUACUGUGUCAUGAGGUUCAGCAUGUCAUCGUUUAAACAAUGAAAUGCAAGUUUGUUUCUCAUUUUUUGGGCCCCAUUCGGAAAAAUAUGUUCAUUUGUUAGUUUAUUGUGAGUUUUGAAGGUGUUAAGUCGAUCCCAG